GUAAUGCCUAGGAAUCUGCCUGGUAGUGGGGGACAACGUUUCGAAAGGAACGCUAAUACCGCAUACGUCCUACGGGAGAAAGCAGGGGACCUUCGGGCCUUGCGCUAUCAGAUGAGCCUAGGUCGGAUUAGCUUGUUGGUGAGGUAAUGGCUCACCAAGGCGACGAUCCGUAACUGGUCUGAGAGGAUGAUCAGUCACACUGGAACUGAGACACGGUCCAGACUCCUACGGGAGGCAGCAGUGGGGAAUAUUGGACAAUGGGCGAAAGCCUGAUCCAGCCAUGCCGCGUGUGUGAAGAAGGUCUUCGGAUUGUAAAGCACUUUAAGUUGGGAGGAAGGGUUGUAGAUUAAUACUCUGCAAUUUUGACGUUACCGACAGAAUAAGCACCGGCUAACUCUGUGCCAGCAGCCGCGGUAAUACAGAGGGUGCAAGCGUUAAUCGGAAUUACUGGGCGUAAAGCGCGCGUAGGUGGUUUGUUAAGUUGGAUGUGAAAGCCCCGGGCUCAACCUGGGAACUGCAUCCAAAACUGGCAAGCUAGAGUACGGUAGAGGGUGGUGGAAUUUCCUGUGUAGCGGUGAAAUGCGUAGAUAUAGGAAGGAACACCAGUGGCGAAGGCGACCACCUGGACUGAUACUGACACUGAGGUGCGAAAGCGUGGGGAGCAAACAGGAUUAGAUACCCUGGUAGUCCACGCCGUAAA
Molecule: ribosomal RNA, 700 nt
Filed under: Pseudomonas sp.
Lineage: Bacteria; Pseudomonadati; Pseudomonadota; Gammaproteobacteria; Pseudomonadales; Pseudomonadaceae
Description: bacterial SSU rRNA
Rfam family: Bacterial small subunit ribosomal RNA
Source: RNAcentral